RNAcentral lists this ribosomal RNA (447 nucleotides) under uncultured bacterium. RNAcentral describes it as "bacterial SSU rRNA". It matches the Rfam family "Bacterial small subunit ribosomal RNA", at positions 30 to 474 of the family's 1533-position model. The record is from RNAcentral.
AUUGAACGCUGGCGGCGUGCCUAACACAUGCAAGUCGAGCGGUAACAGGUGUAGCAAUACAUGCUGACGAGCGGCGAACGGGUGAGUAAUGCUUCGGAAUCUGCCCAUGUAGUGGGGAAUAACCAGCCGAAAGGUUGGCUAAUACCGCAUACGACCUACGGGUGAAAGCAGGGGAUCGCAAGACCUUGCGCUAUUGGAUGAGCCGAAGUCGGAUUAGCAGUUGGUAGGGUAACGGCCUACCAAGGCGACGAUCCGUAGCUGGUCUGAGAGGACGACCAGCCACACUGGGACUGAGACACGGCCCAGACUCCUACGGGAGGCAGCAGUGGGAAUAUUGGACAAUGGGGCAACCCUGAUCCAGCGACGCCGCGUGUGUGAAGAAGGCCUGCGGGUUGUAAAGCACUUUUAGUGGGAUGAAAAGCUCGGGGUUAAUACCUCCGGGUCUUG